RNAcentral lists this ribosomal RNA (425 nucleotides) under uncultured rumen bacterium. Its description in RNAcentral is "bacterial SSU rRNA". It matches the Rfam family "Bacterial small subunit ribosomal RNA", at positions 354 to 776 of the family's 1533-position model. The record is from RNAcentral.
GUGGGGAAUAUUGGUCAAUGGGCGAGAGCCUGAACCAGCCAAGUAGCGUGCAGGAUGACGGCCCUAUGGGUUGUAAACUGCUUUUAUGCGGGGAUAAAGUGAGGGACGUGUCCCUUUUUGUAGGUACCGCAUGAAUAAGGACCGGCUAAUUCCGUGCCAGCAGCCGCGGUAAUACGGAAGGUCCGGGCGUUAUCCGGAUUUAUUGGGUUUAAAGGGAGCGCAGGCUGAUUGUUAAGCGUGACGUGAAAUGUAGCCGCUCAACGGCUGAACUGCGUCGCGAACUGGCAGUCUUGAGUGAGUACGACGUCAGCGGAAUUCGUGGUGUAGCGGUGAAAUGCUUAGAUAUCACGAAGAACCCCGAUUGCGAAGGCAGCUGACGAGUCCUUUACUGACGCUAAAGCUCGAAGGUGCGGGUAUCGAACAGG